GACGUAGGGCGCGAGCGUUGUCCGGAUUCAUUGGGCGUAAAGAGCGUGUAGGCGGCCAGGUAGGUCGGUUGUGAAAACUGGAGGCUCAACCUUCAGAGGUCGACCGAAACCAUCUGGCUAGAGUCCGGGAGAGGAGAGUGGAAUUCCUGGUGUAGCGGUGAAAUGCGCAGAUAUCAGGAAGAACACCCGUGGCGAAAGCGGCUCUCUGGAACGGUACUGACGCUGAGACGCGAAAGCGUGGGGAGCGAACAGG
This 253-nucleotide ribosomal RNA is filed under the name uncultured bacterium. Its description in RNAcentral is "partial 16S ribosomal RNA". It matches the Rfam family "Bacterial small subunit ribosomal RNA", at positions 524 to 776 of the family's 1533-position model. The record is from RNAcentral.